UUGGGGGAGGGCUCCGGGUCCCCCCCCUUUCCCUGAGGGGCAUUUUUGGGGGGCUUCAGAUCCCCCCCCCUCCUUGGGGGGCAUUUUUGGGUAACUGCAGCCCCCCCCUAUAGAUGGCACUGCCCCAUUCGGAGCCCCCCCCGCACCCCCACCCCCCCCGGCGCCGCUUUUCCCUUUGGGUUUUCCAGUUGUGCCUUAACCGGGGAGCAGCGCUCAGUGGGACACCAAUGGGACCCCCCGUGUGACACCGAGGGGACACCAAUGGGACCCCAAUGGGACACCGGGACCCCCAGUGUGACACCAAUGGGACCCCAGUGAGACCCCCUGUGUGACACCAAGGGGACACCAAUGGGACACCAACGGGACCCCAGUGAGACCCCCAGUGUGACACCAAUGGGACCCCAAUGGGACCCCCCGUGUGACUCCAAUGGGACACCAACGGGACACCAAUGGGACACCGGGACCCCCAGUGUGACACCAAUGGGACCCCAGUGAGACCCCCAGUGUGACACCGAGGGGACACCGAGGGGACACCGGGACCCCCAGUGUGACUCCAAUGGGACACCAAUGGGACACCAAUGGGACUCCAAUGGGACACCAAUGGGACCCCCAGUGUGACACCAACGGGACCCCAAUGGGACCCCCCGUGUGACACCAACGGGACACCAAUGGGACACCAAUGGGACCCCCAGUGUGACACCGAGGGGACACCAGUGGGACACCAAUGGGACACCGGGACCCAAAGUGUGACACCGAGAGGACCCCCAGUGUGACACAAAGGGGACUCCAAUGGGACACCGGGACCCCCACUGUGACACCGAGGGGACACCGAGGGGACACCGGGACCCCCACUGUGACACCAAUGGGACCCCAGUGAGACCCCCAGUGUGACUCCAAUGGGACCCCAGUGAGACCCCCAGUGUGACUCCAAUGGGACACCAACGGGACACCGGGACCGCCAGUGUGAUACCAGUGGGACCCCAGUGAGACCCCCAGUGUGACACCGAGGGGACACCGAGGGGACCCCAAUGGGACCCCAGUGUGACUCCAAGGGGACACCAAUGGUUCCCCCAGUGUGACACCGAGGAGACACCAAUGGAACACCAAGAAGACACCAAUGGGACCCCCAGUGUGACACCAGUGGGACACCAAUGGGACACCAAUGGGACACCAAUGGGACACUGGGACCCAAAGUGUGACACCGAGAGGACCCCCAGUGUGACACCAAUGGGACACCAAUGGGACACUGAGGGGACACCAAUGGGACCCACAGCGCCCCAAUGUGACACUGAGGGGACAGUGGGACCCCCAGCACUUUGAGGUGACCCGGAGGGGACCCCCACCACUCUGAUGUGACCCCGAGGGGACCCCCGAUGUGACACUGAGGGGACAGUGGGACCCCCAGCACUCUGAUGUGACCCCGAGUGGCCCCACACGGCUCCAUGGGACCCCACUGUGGGGCAGUGGUGGUUAUGCGGGGGGGUCGGGGGCUGCUGCCCCCCCCCACAGCCGCCCCCUGCAGAGCUGUCCCCCCCCCC
This 1538-nucleotide long non-coding RNA is filed under the name Gallus gallus (chicken). The record is from RNAcentral. Lineage: Eukaryota; Metazoa; Chordata; Aves; Galliformes; Phasianidae.